This 454-nucleotide ribosomal RNA is filed under the name uncultured organism. RNAcentral describes it as "partial 16S ribosomal RNA". It matches the Rfam family "Bacterial small subunit ribosomal RNA", at positions 331 to 801 of the family's 1533-position model. The record is from RNAcentral.
GUACACUCCUACGGGAGGCAGCAGUGGGGAAUAUUGGACAAUGGGCGCAAGCCUGAUCCAGCCAUGCCGCGUGAGUGAUGAAGGCCCUAGGGUUGUAAAGCUCUUUCACCGGUGAAGAUAAUGACGGUAACCGGAGAAGAAGCCCCGGCUAACUUCGUGCCAGCAGCCGCGGUAAUACGAAGGGGGCUAGCGUUGUUCGGAUUUACUGGGCGUAAAGCGCACGUAGGCGGACUAUUAAGUCAGGGAUGAAAUCCCGGGGCUCAACCCCGGAACUGCCUUUGAUACUGGUAGUCUUGAGUUCGAGAGAGGUGAGUGGAAUUCCGAGUGUAGAGGUGAAAUUCGUAGAUAUUCGGAGGAACACCAGUGGCGAAGGCGGCUCACUGGCUCGAUACUGACGCUGAGGUGCGAAAGCGUGGGGAGCAAACAGGAUUAGAAACCCCAGUAGUCCCAUGAU